AACGAACGCUGGCGGCAUGCCUAACACAUGCAAGUCGAACGAGACCUUCGGGUCUAGUGGCGCACGGGUGCGUAACGCGUGGGAACCUGCCCUUAGGUUCGGAAUAACUCCCCGAAAGGGGUGCUAAUACCGGAUAAUGUCUUCGGACCAAAGAUUUAUCGCCUUUGGAUGGGCCCGCGUUGGAUUAGCUAGUUGGUAGGGUAAAAGCCUACCAAGGCGACGAUCCAUAGCUGGUCUGAGAGGAUGAUCAGCCACACUGGGACUGAGACACGGCCCAGACUCCUACGGGAGGCAGCAGUGGGGAAUAUUGGACAGUGGGCGGAGGCCUGAUCCAGCAAUGCCGCGUGAGUGAUAAAGGCCUUAGGGUUGUAAAGCUCUUUUACCCGGGAUGAUAAUGACAGUACCGGGAGAAUAAGCUCCGGCUAACUCCGUG
RNAcentral lists this ribosomal RNA (433 nucleotides) under uncultured bacterium. RNAcentral's name for it is "partial 16S ribosomal RNA". It matches the Rfam family "Bacterial small subunit ribosomal RNA", at positions 29 to 507 of the family's 1533-position model. The record is from RNAcentral.